AUUGAACGCUGGCGGAAUGCUUUACACAUGCAAGUCGAACGGUAGAGGGGGCAACCCCUUGAGAGUGGCGAACGGGUGAGUAAUAUAUCGGAACGUGCCCAGUCGUGGGGAUAACGUAGCGAAAGUUACGCUAAUACCGCAUACGAUCUAAGGAUGAAAGCGGGGGAUCGCAAGACCUCGCGCGAUUGGAGCGGCCGAUAUCAGAUUAGGUAGUUGGUGAGGUAAAGGCUCACCAAGCCAACGAUCUGUAGCUGGUCUGAGAGGACGACCAGCCACACUGGAACUGAGACACGGUCCAGACUCCUACGGGAGGCAGCAGUGGGGAAUUUUGGACAAUGGACGCAAGUCUGAUCCAGCCAUUCCGCGUGCAGGAUGAAGGCCCUCGGGUUGUAAACUGCUUUUGUACGGAACGAAAAGGUUUCUAUUAAUACUAGGAGCUCAUGACGGUACCGUAAGAUAAGCACCGGCUAACUACGUGCCAGCAGCCGCGGU
Molecule: ribosomal RNA, 492 nt
Filed under: uncultured bacterium
Lineage: Bacteria
Description: bacterial SSU rRNA
Rfam family: Bacterial small subunit ribosomal RNA
Source: RNAcentral